RNAcentral lists this long non-coding RNA (318 nucleotides) under Vigna radiata. RNAcentral describes it as "long non-coding RNA (VRAD_LNC010960)". Lineage: Eukaryota; Viridiplantae; Streptophyta; Magnoliopsida; Fabales; Fabaceae. The record is from RNAcentral.
CCUCCUAUAGGUGGGGAUGCCGAUAGCACUCCUGGUUUACCUCCAUCUCAUCUAGGAUCUGUACAAACAAGUUCAGCCCCUCCACCACCUCCUCCUCCCCCACUUGCACUUGGACCUGUACAAACAACUUUAGUCCCACCACCUCCUCCACCACCACCACCCCCAGGUACUGUGAGAACAAAUUCAGUCCCACCACCUCCGCCUCCACCUCCAGGUCCUUUGCGAACAGAUUUGGCCCCUUCACCUCCACCACCAUCUCCUCCUCCUCCUCUUUUAAAUCCUAUGCGAACAGGUUCAGCCCCACCACCACCUCCACCU